ACUCGCCUGACGUGCGCGGAGCCAGCUCUUACCACUCCCCCCAGCGCCCUCCCCUCGGGAGCUGCGUGGGGCCCGGGGGCAAGGGGUGUGCGCUUUGCUUUCCUGCGGGAUCCUCAGGGGUUAGACCGGUGCUUGGCCCUGGGAACAAAGCCUCGCUAGCACCUUUUAUUUACUCAGUAAAAGUGGGAUGAAUGAAUGAGUGAACGAAUGAAGGAGUGGAUGGGUUCUCUCCUGGCUCCCGCACCUGCCGGUUCUCUAAGCCACUCCGAUCACAGUGCUCCCAUCGAUGAAACAGGGAUAAAAGUAGCCACCAUCGAGCUGCAAAGGCUUGGUGUAGUUCCAGGUUGGAGCAGGCCUUUGCCGAUAUUGUCAAUGCGCUUCCCUCCUCAUCGGCACCGAGGUGGUCAUGAGAGAAUGUCAGUCUGCUUCAUGUGUGACCUUCAGUCUUCAAGAGGAGAAUUGUCACCAGCCCCAUAAGACCUGAAGGGAACUCGUCACCGGGUCAGGGUCCCCACAGAAGACAUUCAACAUUGGAAAUAUGUUCAGCAGCAGUUUUAGAGAAGCUUCAGAAAUAGUCCCUGACAGUGGGGGAAAGACAAUACAGAACUCCAUCCUUUUAUAAAAACAUAGUUAUGAAUAUAAAUAUGCCCACAAAUAGAAACAUGACGAAUAGAAAUAUAUACAAAUGUUAACAAUGAUUAAUUAUAGACUGGGCGGCUCAAGGUGAUUUUUAGGUUCUUCUUUUCACUUUCCAAAUGUGUAAUUCCCAAAUAUUUUUACUUAUAUAAUCAGAAAAAAGAUUUUAUUAAACAUUUUUUUAAUGUUCAUUUUAUUAUUUUUGAGAGAGAGACACACACACACACAGCAUGAGUGGGGGAGGGGCAGAGAGAGAGGGAGACACAAUCUGAAGCAGACUCCAGGCCCUGAGCUGUCAGCACAGAGCCCGACGCAGGGCUCGAACCCACAAACUGUGAGAUCAUGACCUGAGCUGAAGUUGGACCCUUAACCGGCCGAGCCACCUAGGUGUCCCAUGGAAAGAGAUUUUAAAAAACAAACACGGUCCGUUCCAAGAUGUAAAGUGCUUAGAAAUUGUCACUCCACAUCUCACAAGAGAAAAGCUGAGCCAACUGGAAAUCUCUUCGAUCCAGCAGUGAAUCUCUUCUUUGAUCACAGCACAAACUGCAGCCAGAAACCCGGAGAGGCAGACCAAUAUAGAGAGAGAAUCGGUGUGCAGGGAGAAGGGGUCUUGGAAACCGUAGGAAAAGUUAAACUGCACUUGACUCCUGCUGUUCCAAGGUUGUAUCCUGUACAGUAAGCCAGCAAUGGAAACCAAAGACAAAAAGAAAACCUUGAAAGAAUCCAGAGGAAUGGAACAUCUUACCUUACAGAGGAGCAAGGAUAAGAAUUUCAUGUUAUUUUUCUUCAGAAACCGCAAGCAAGAAGAGUGACGUAAAGUAAAAAAACACCCCAGUAACCUGAAAUUCUAUAUCCAGAAAAAUCAUCCUUCAAACAAUAACGGAGAAAUAAAGACUUUCUCAGGCAAACAAAAAUGGAAGGUUUUGUUGCCAGUAUACCUGCCUUGCAAGGAAUGUUAAAAUAAGUUCUUCAGAAAGAAAAAAAUAAUAAUAUAGGUUGGACACUCUUCCUGUAUAAAAAUGGAAAGACUGCUAGAGAAGGAAUAAAUAAAAGUAAAAUAAAAUCUUUUAUUUUUCUUAUUCUAAAUUGAUCUAAUAGAUUAUUAUUUAAAAUAAUAACCAUAGCAUUGAAUUGGGUGAUUAGAGCUUAUGGAUAAAUGAAAUGUGUAAUAAUAAAGUUUACGAGGCAUGGGGAGGAGGAAUUGGAAACAUAUUGUGGGUCGGUACCUGCACUACUCAUGAAAUGGUGUAGUGUUCUCUUAAAGUGGAUUUAGAUUAGUUGUAAAUGUAUAUUGAAAACUCUAGGGCGAUCACUGAUGAUUACACUUCUUUUUAAUAGAUAUACUAAUGAAGGAAAGAAAAGGCAAUCAUAUAAGAGGCUCAGUUAAAACUAGAGAAGGCAGAAAAGAGUAAAAGAUUAAAGGGGCUCCUGGGUGGCUCAGUCAGUUAAGCAUCCAGCUCUUGGUUUCUGCCCAGGUCAUGAUCUCAUGGUUUCAUGGAUUUGAGACCUAUGUCGGGCUUUGCACUGGCAGCAAGGAGCCUGCUUGGGAUUCUCUCUCUCUCUCUCUCUCUCUCUCUCUCUCUCUCUCUGUGUGUCUCUGCCCCUCCUGCUCACGCUGUCUCUGUCUCUCUCAAAAAUAAGGAACUAAACUUAAAUUUUAAAAAAAGAAGAUUAAAAAAAGAAACAAAGAACAAGUAUAAAUGGAGUAGAAAGCAGCUACCAAUAUGGUAGACCUUAACCCAACUAUGUGAAUAAUAACCUUAAAUGUGAAUGGUCUAAAUAUGCCAAUUAAAAGACAGAGACCGAGUGUGUAAAAAAGUAAGACCCAACGACAUGUUAUCUGCAAGAACUCUACUUUAAAUAUAAGGCACAGAUAGAUUAAAUGCAAAGGGAUGGAGAAAUCUAUGGCAUGCCAACAUGAAUCAAAGGAAAGCUGGAGUAACUGUGUCAGUUUCAGAGUAGCAGAUUUCUGAACAAAGAAAAUUAUCAGGGAUAAACAGGACACUAUGUGAUGAUAAAGGGAUCAAUUCUCCAGGAAAGCAUAACAAUCCUUAAGGUGUGGGUGCCUAACAAAGUGUCAACAAAAUGUCAAAAUAUGUGAGGCAAAAUUUGAUAGAAUUGCAAUGAGAAAUAGACAAAUCCAUGAUUAGAGAGGCUUCAUGACCCCCUUAUCAGUGAUCGACAGGCCCAGUAGUCAGAGAAUCAGUAAGCAUAUAGUUGAGCUGACCAACAUCACCAAUCAACCGGCUCUGAUCGACAUUUGUAGAGUAUUUCAUCCAACAACAGCAAAAUGUAUGUUAUUCUUCAUCUCGCAUGGAACAUUUGCCAAAAUAGACUAUAUUCAGGACUGUAAAACACACCGUAACAAAUCUGAAAAAAAUAGAAAUCACACGAAGUGUGCUGUCAGUUCACAAUGGAAUUAAACUCAAAAUCACUAAUAGAAAGAUAGCUAGAUAACCUUCAGAUAUUUGGAGGUUAAACAACACAUUUCUAAAUAACAAAUGGGCCAAAGAAAAAGUCUUAGAAGAAAUGAGAAAACAUUUGGGCCAAAGAAGAAGGCUUAGAAGAAAUGAGAAAACGUUUGGACUAAAUGAAAGUGAAAAUACAACUUAUUGAAAUUUGUGGGAAGCAGUGCAAAGAAGAAAGAUAUCAAAUCAAUAAGCUUCCACCUUAGGAAACUAGCGAAAGAAGAUCAAUAUAAGCAAGUAGAGGAAAAGAAUGAAUAAAUAUGAGGACAGAAAUAAUCAAUGAGAUUGAAAACAGGAAAUGAAUAGAGACAAUCAACACAACUAAAGCUGGUUCUUUGAAGAGAUAAAUAAAACUGAUAAACUUCUAGCCAGGCUAACCAAACAACAACAACAACAACAACAACAACAACAACAAAGGAUAAGACACUAAUGACUACAAUUAGAAAUGAGAGAGGGACCAAUCACUACUAAUCCCAUGGAUAUUAAAAGGAUAAUAAAGCACUAUUCUGAAUAAUUUUCUAUGCCCAUAAAUCUGAUAACUUAGAUGACUUAGACCAAUUUUUUGGAACACAAUCUAUCAAAAGUCACACAAAGAGAAAUAGAUAAUUGAAAUCAUUCUAUAUCUGUUAAAGAAAUUGAAUCAAUAGUUGGUAAUCUUCCAAAAAGAAAGCCCCAGGCCCAGAUGGUUUCACUGUGCAUUCUACCAAAUAUUUAAGGAAGAAAUGAUGACAAUUUCUUGCAAACUCUUCCAGAUAAGUGAAGUAGAAGGAACACUUCCUAGCUCAUUCUGUGAGGCCAGCAUAACCCUAAUACCCAAACUAGAUAAAGACAAUACAAGAAAAUAAAACCACAGAUCAAUAGCUCACAUGAAUACAGAAGUAAGAAUUCUCAACAAAAUAUUAACAAAUCAGAUCCAACUAUGAUUAAAAGAAUUAUAGACCAUGUCCAAAUGAGAUUUAUUCCAGUUAUGUAAAGCUUGUACAAUCUUCAAAAAUCCACGUACUCUAAAAUGAAUAUACGCUAUCAUAUCAACAGGCUAAAGAAGAACAAUCACAUGAUUAUAUCAAUAGAUGCAGAAAAAGCAUUUAAUAAAAUCCAAAAUUCAUUCCUGACAAAAACUCUUAACACACUAGGAAUAAAAGGAAACUUCCUUAACUUGAUAAAGGACAUCUACCAACAAGCUUACAGCUAACAUUAUAAAAACUGUAUUCUCCCACCAUCGGGCACAAGGCAAGGAUGACUUCUCCCUCCCGCCUAUUCAACACUGUGCCAGAAGUCCUACAAAUAAGGAGGAGAAGGGUUACAGAUUGGGAAGGGAGAAAGAAAAUGGUGUCUGUUUGCAGAUGGCAUAAUUAUGUAGAAGAUCCCAAAGAACGCACCAAAAAAUCCCCAAACAAACAAACAAACAACCCUCCUGAGAGUCAUAAGUGAUUAUGACAAGGUUGCAGGAUACUAGGUUAAUAUACAAAAGUCAACUGCUUCCUAUACACAACAAUGAGCAAUUGGAAUUUCAAGUUAAAAGCACAGUACCAUUGGGGCGUGUGGGUGGCUCAGUCGGUUAAUCGUCCCUCAGGUCAUGAUCUUGUGGUUCAUGAGUUCAGGCUCUGUGCUGACAGCUCAGAGCCUGGAGCCUGCUGUGGAUUCUGUGUCUCCCUCUCUCUCUGCCCCUCCCCUGCUCGCGCUCUGUCUCUGCCUCUCAAAAAUAAAGAAACAUAAAAAAAAUUUGAAAAAACACGUAUUAAAAAAAAGCGCAGUACCAUUUACAUUGUCACCCCCAAAGUAAAAUAUUUUUCUAAGUGUAACAAAACAUGCAGAAGAUGUAUAUAAGGAAAACUACAAAAUUGUGAAGCCAGAAAGUAAAAAAAAUAUAUAAAUAAAUAAAGAGAUUUCUAUAUUCAUGGAUAGGAAGAAUCAAUAUUGUUAAAAUGUUAGUUCUUCCCAAUUGGAUUUGCAUUCAAUCAAAUCACAGCAGAUUGUUUUGUGGACAUCAAGAAAAUGAUUCUCAAGUUUAUGUGCAAAGGCAAAAGGCCCAGAUAGCCAACACAUGGCUGAAGAAGACAGUCAGAAGACUGAAGCUAGCUGGCUUCGAGACUUACCAUAAACUACAAUAAUCAAGACAGUGUGAUUUUGGUGAAAGAACAGACAACUAGAUCAAUGAAACAGAACAAAGAGUCCAGAGAAAGACCCACACAAAUACAGUCGCCUGAUCUUUGCCAAAGCUGCAGAGACAGUUCAAUGGAGAAAGAUAGUCUUUCCAACAGAUGGUACUAGAACAGCUGAAUACACACACACACACACACACACACACACACACGCACACACAGAAAGAAAAGAAAGGAAAAGAAAGAAAAAAAGAAGGAAAAGAAAAAAGAAGCUAAAAACAGACCUCGCACUUUUCACAAAAAUUAACUCAAAGUAGAUCAUAGGCCUACAUAUGUGAUGUGCAAAACUCUAAAACUUUUAUAAGAUAACAUAGGAGAAAAUUAGAUGACCCUAGGUUUGCCAAUGAAUUUUAAAUACAACACCAAAGAUACAAUCUACAAAAGAAAAAAUUGAUAAGUUGGACUUCAUUCAAAUUAAACACUUCUGGGGCGCGUGGGUGGCUCAGUCGGUUAAGCGUCCGACUUCGGCUCAGGUCAUGAUCUCACAGUUCCUGAGUUUGAGCCCCACAUCGGGCUCUGUGCUGACAGCUCAGAGCCUGGAGCCUGCUUCCGAUUCUGUGUUCCCUCUCUCUCUGUCACUCCCCUGCUCAUGCUCUGUAUCUCUCUCUCCCUCUCAAAAAUAAAUAAACAUUUAAAAAAAAUUAAAAACUUCUGCUCUGCAAAAGGCACUGUUAAGAUCAUGAAAAGACCAGGUACAGGCUGGGAGUAAAUAUUUGCAAAACUUAUCUAAUAAAGGAUUUGUAUCCAAAUGUACAAAGAACUCUUAAAACGUGAUAAGAGAACAACCAAAUUACAAAGGAGGCAAAGAUCUGAACCCACACCUCAUAAAAAAAGAUAGGUAGAUGACAAGGAAGCAUAUAAAGUUCUCAAAAUCAUUUGUUAGCAACGAAUGGCAAAUUACAACAACGAGGUACCACUGUAUACCUAUUAGAAUGGCUAAAAUCCCAAACACUGGCAACCCGAAAUGCUGGAGCAGUAGAAGGAGUCAUUCCUUGUAGGUGGAAGUACAACACAGUAGAAUCACUUUGGAAGACAGUUGGGCAGUUCUUACAAAGCUAAACAUACUCUUACGUCAUAUGACCCAGCAAACGUGAACUUACUACAAUGAGUUGAAAUCUUGUAGUCACGCAAAAAUCGACGAGCGCUUUAUUCUGGAAGCCACCAAGAUUUCCUUCCACAAGUUAACGUAUUAACAAAUGGUGGCCACAUCCGUACAAUGGGAUAGUAUUCAGUAAUAAAAAGAAAUAAGCUAUCAAGACAAAAAGUCAUGGCGGGAUCUAAAUUUACAAACCUGUCAGUCUGAAAAAGCUACAUGCUGUAUGAUUCCAAUGACCUGACAUUCUGGAAAAGGCAAGACUAUAGACACAGUAGAAAGAUCAGUGGUUUCCAGUGUUUUGGUAUGAAGAGGGUAGGGAAGAAAAAGUGGACCACAGGGGACUUGGGGGCGCUGUAACUAUCCUACGUGAUACUAUAGUGGUGGCUACAUGACAUUAUACAUUUGUCAAAACCCGUAGAAUUGGGUAACACAAAGAGUGAAUCCCAAUGUAAACUUUACACUUUAAUAAUAUUGUAUCACUAUUGGCUCAUCAAUUGUAACAUGUAUCACACCAAUACAAGAUGUUAACAAUAAGGGAAACUGUAUGGAGGAGAAGGGUUAUCUGGGAAAUCUCUGUACUAUAUGCUGGAUUUUUCUGUAAAGAAAGUCUACGACAUUCUUAAAAAUGCACCUUUGUUUAUUCACUCAGAAAUAUAUAUUGGGCACCCACCCGUGUUAACUAUUGUUGUGUGUUUUGGAGGUAGCACAGUGUAUUACACAGGCCAAGUUCUGCUCUCCGGUGGGGCUUAUAUAACUAGUGGGUGGAGGGGGGCUGGGGGUGCAGACACAGACCAUAAGCAAACAAGAUAAUUUCAGAGUGAUGUGAGGACAAAGCAACGGAUGGUAAGCCGGAGGGGGCCUGGGAGAGCUACGUGGGACAAGCUGGUCUGGGAGGGCCUCCCUCAGCUGAGAACAUCUGGGCUGAGACGUGAACAAUGGGAAGUCUGAGGCUAAGAGUUCCUAGAGGGCCAGGCUGGAAGAAGAGCUAAGCCCAAAAGCCCCCGGGGCAGGAACCAGCCAAAGAAGGAAAGGGAAGAGCAAGCCUAGUGUGGAAUCACGGAUGACCGUAUCGAGGGCUGGAGCAACGCGCUGGCUACUGGACUCGUGAAUUGACAUGGGAAAGGCUGAGAGAAAAAUGGUGUAAGGGUAGAGGAUGGAAAUCUAACAUUCUGCCUUGUAGUGUUAAGUUUGACAGGCCCCCUGAUGCUAAGGCAGGUAGAGUCCUAAAGUUGCUAGGUGGGACAGAGCAAGACAGGGACCAUGCUGGUGAGUGAUGGGGGAGCCGUGGAAACCCAUCGAGGGGAGAAAGGGGGCAUCCGUGAGGACAAUCUUUCGUGGAGGGUCAGAGCAUG
Long non-coding RNA from Panthera uncia (snow leopard), 7714 nucleotides. RefSeq lists it as uncharacterized. Lineage: Eukaryota; Metazoa; Chordata; Mammalia; Carnivora; Felidae. The transcript has 3 exons. The record is from RefSeq and is a predicted model, not a curated record.